Molecule: long non-coding RNA, 232 nt
Filed under: Elaeis guineensis (African oil palm)
Lineage: Eukaryota; Viridiplantae; Streptophyta; Magnoliopsida; Arecales; Arecaceae
Description: long non-coding RNA (EGUI_LNC044928)
Source: RNAcentral
UUGCCCUGCUUCCGCUGCCUUCACUCUCUAUCCACGGUCCUCUAUUUUUAUAGGCACAAAUUGGGUUGAAAUUGGAUUAAAAUUGAAUUCCUAUUCGUGUUAAAAGUCCUCAACCCACGCCCACCAUCGGAUGAUGAUCAAAUGGCCAAAAUCCCAUCUCAAAAUAUUCUAAAUCAAGUUGACUGCAUUCUUGACUGUUGGAUCCUUUUCUAGAUCAAAUUGGAACCAUUGG